This 116-nucleotide small nucleolar RNA is filed under the name Mesocricetus auratus (golden hamster). Its description in RNAcentral is "Small nucleolar RNA SNORA17 (ENSMAUG00000005909.1)". It matches the Rfam family "Small nucleolar RNA SNORA17". Rfam says of the family: snoRNA ACA 17 belongs to the H/ACA family of snoRNAs and is predicted to guide pseudouridylation of the 28S rRNA at positions U4659 and U4598. It shares the same host gene together with ACA43. NB This family has a high threshold value to exclude a large number of closely related sequences that do not appear to have conserved H and ACA boxes, and may be pseudogenes. The record is from Rfam by way of RNAcentral. Lineage: Eukaryota; Metazoa; Chordata; Mammalia; Rodentia; Cricetidae.
ACCGCCCUAAGCAGCACUGCAGGUGUGGCUGCUGUGUCAGUAGGUAGCAGGAAAAGGGACCCCGUGUGCCUCAGUGUCCUGUCCUAUGAGCAUCUGAAUGAACAGAGCUUGACACU